UUAGCAGACCGCCUUAUCGCUGUAUGCUGUCAUCCCGCACGUGCGGGAGGAAUCAGCAUAAAGAGGAAAGUCCGGACACCAUAGAGCAGUAUAGCGGCUAACGGCCGUCGUCCGCCUCAGGCGGAUAGGACAAGUGCAACAGAAAGCAAGUACAGGUAAUGCUGUAGUGAAACCAGGUAAACUCUAUACGGUGCAAUGUCAUGUAAACCUACGUUUGAGGGCGGCUCGCCCGAUGUGGGAGGGUAGGCAGAUUGAAGUGCUUGGUGACAAGUAUUCUAGAUAAAUGAUAAGGGUCAGCCUAAGGCUGAUACAGAAUCCGGCUUAUAGGUCUGCUUUUUUU
RNAcentral lists this RNase P RNA (340 nucleotides) under Flavobacteriaceae bacterium. Its description in RNAcentral is "RNase P RNA component class A". It matches the Rfam family "Bacterial RNase P class A". From Rfam's summary of the family: Ribonuclease P (RNase P) is a ubiquitous endoribonuclease, found in archaea, bacteria and eukarya as well as chloroplasts and mitochondria. Its best characterised activity is the generation of mature 5'-ends of tRNAs by cleaving the 5'-leader elements of precursor-tRNAs. Lineage: Bacteria; Pseudomonadati; Bacteroidota; Flavobacteriia; Flavobacteriales; Flavobacteriaceae. The record is from RNAcentral.